Acanthosepion pharaonis is the source of this 99-nucleotide non-coding RNA. NCBI's taxonomy places the organism in Eukaryota, Metazoa, Mollusca, Cephalopoda, Sepiida, Sepiidae. The record is from the annotation of a GenBank genome assembly.
GUUGAAACACCAGUUUCUGUACGAUCACCGAAGUUAAGCAACGUCGAGCCUGGUCAGUACCUCGAGAGUUAGCCACUUGGGAAUAGCAGAUACUGUAAG